CCUACGGGGGGCAGCAGUGAGGAAUAUUGGUCAAUGGACGAGAGUCUGAACCAGCCAAGUAGCGUGAAGGAUGACUGCCCUAUGGGUUGUAAACUUCUUUUAUAUGGGAAUAAAAUGUUCCACGUGUGGGAUUUUGUAUGUACCAUAUGAAUAAGGAUCGGCUAACUCCGUGCCAGCAGCCGCGGUAAUACGGAGGAUCCGAGCGUUAUCCGGAUUUAUUGGGUUUAAAGGGAGCGUAGGUGGAUUGUUAAGUCAGUUGUGAAAGUUUGCGGCUCAACCGUAAAAUUGCAGUUGAAACUGGGAGUCUUGAGUACAGUAGAGGUAGGCGGAAUUCGUGGUGUAGCGGUGAAAUGCUUAGAUAUCACGAAGAACUCCGAUUGCGAAGGCAGCUCACUGGACUGCAACUGACGCUGAGGCUCGAAAGUGUGGGUAUCAAACAGGAUUAGAUACCCCUGUAGUC
RNAcentral lists this ribosomal RNA (460 nucleotides) under uncultured bacterium. RNAcentral's name for it is "partial 16S ribosomal RNA". It matches the Rfam family "Bacterial small subunit ribosomal RNA", at positions 338 to 795 of the family's 1533-position model. The record is from RNAcentral.